AGCAGCCGCGGUAAUUCCAGCUCCAAUAGCGUAUAUUAAAGUUGUUGCAGUUAAAAAGCUCGUAGUUGAAUUUCGGGAUCAAUAUAUCGGUCGUGCCAUUGGUACGUACUGGUAUCAUUGGUUUCUCCUUUCUGACGAACCAUGAUGUCAUUAAUUUGGUGUUAUGGGAAGUUAGGACUGUUACUUUGAAAAAAUUAGAGUGUUUAAAGCAGGCUUUAGCUUGAAUACAUUAGCAUGGAAUAAUGAAAUAGGACGUUCGAACCUAUUUUGUUGGUUUCUAGGAUCAACGUAAUGAUUAAUAGGGAUAGUUGGGGGCAUUAGUAUUCAAUUGUCAGAGGUGAAAUUCUUGGAUUUAUUGAAGACUAACUACUGCGAAAGCAUUUGACCAAGGUAUGUUUCAUUAAUACAAGAACGAAAGUUAGGGAU
Molecule: ribosomal RNA, 426 nt
Filed under: uncultured Glomus
Lineage: Eukaryota; Fungi; Glomeromycota; Glomeromycetes; Glomerales; Glomeraceae
Description: SSU rRNA
Rfam family: Eukaryotic small subunit ribosomal RNA
Source: RNAcentral